CCCCGUAACUUAGGGAGAAGGGGUGCCUACGAGAGUAGGCCGCAGUGAAUAGGCUCAAGCAACUGUUUAUCAAAAACACAGGUCUCUGCUAAAGCGUAAGCUGAUGUAUAGGGGCUGACGCCUGCCCGGUGCUGGAAGGUUAAGGGGAAUAGUUAGCGCAAGCGAAGCUAUGAACUUAAGCCCCAGUAAACGGCGGCCGUAACUAUAACGGUCCUAAGGUAGCGAAAUUCCUUGUCGGGUAAGUUCCGACCCGCACGAAUGGCGUAAUGAUUUGAGCACUGUCUCGGCAAUAAAUCCGGUGAAAUUGUAGUGCAAGUGAAGAUGCUUGCUACCCGCGG
RNAcentral lists this ribosomal RNA (338 nucleotides) under Clostridium botulinum. RNAcentral's name for it is "partial 23S ribosomal RNA". It matches the Rfam family "Bacterial large subunit ribosomal RNA", at positions 1726 to 2075 of the family's 2925-position model. The record is from RNAcentral. Lineage: Bacteria; Bacillati; Bacillota; Clostridia; Eubacteriales; Clostridiaceae.